This 468-nucleotide ribosomal RNA is filed under the name uncultured bacterium. Its description in RNAcentral is "partial 16S ribosomal RNA". It matches the Rfam family "Bacterial small subunit ribosomal RNA", at positions 28 to 507 of the family's 1533-position model. The record is from RNAcentral.
GACGAACGCUGGCGGCGUGCUUAACACAUGCAAGUCGAACGGAAAGGCCCUGCUUUUGUGGGGUGCUCGAGUGGCGAACGGGUGAGUAACACAUGAGUAACCUGCCCUUGACUUUGGGAUAACUUCAGGAAACUGGGGCUAAUACCGGAGAGGAGCUCCUGCUGCAUGGGGGGGGUUGGAAAGUUUCGGCGGUGUGGGAUGGUGUCGCGGCUUAUCCGCUUGUUGGUCGGGUAGUGGCGUACCAAGGCUUUGACGGGUAGCCCGCCUGGGAGGGUGACCGGCCACAUUGGGACUGCGAUACGGACCAGACUCCUACGGGAGGCAGCAGUGGGGAACAUUGCACAAUGGGCGGAAGCCUGAUGCGGCAACGCCGCGUGCGGGAUGACGGCCUUCGGGUUGUAAACCGCUUUCUCCUGUGACGAAGCGUGAGUGACGGUACUGGGUAAAGAAGCACCGGCUAACUACGUG